CCCGACUCGUUUUUCCACGCUGAUUUCCCCAGUGGCCAAAUCGGAGCCAAAAUCCCGACCAAACGGCCGGAAAACACGGCCGAAAGCCAGCGGCGCCGCCGCGCCCCUUCUCGGUUUUUACCUCCGAUGAGGCCCUUCCCGGCCUCCGUUUAAUGCAAUUUUUAUAUCACCGUGAUCACCAUUCUUUUCUCUACAGGUUGAUCGGAGCCGAAUCACCAAAACACGAACUUCACCGGAGAGCCGCCGCACCCGAGAGCACCGCCGCCGGUAAGCUUCGGUUUUCCCUAAAUUUUCGGC
Molecule: long non-coding RNA, 297 nt
Filed under: Carica papaya (papaya)
Lineage: Eukaryota; Viridiplantae; Streptophyta; Magnoliopsida; Brassicales; Caricaceae
Description: long non-coding RNA (CPAP_LNC014311)
Source: RNAcentral